This 379-nucleotide ribosomal RNA is filed under the name uncultured bacterium. Its description in RNAcentral is "bacterial SSU rRNA". It matches the Rfam family "Bacterial small subunit ribosomal RNA", at positions 30 to 409 of the family's 1533-position model. The record is from RNAcentral.
AUUGAACGCUGGCGGCAUGCCUUACACAUGCAAGUCGAACGGCAGCACGGGAGCAAUCCUGGUGGCGAGUGGCGAACGGGUGAGUAAUAUAUCGGAACGUGCCCAGUCGUGGGGAUAACGUAGCGAAAGCUACGCUAAUACCGCAUACGAUCUAUGGAUGAAAGCGGGGGAUCGCAAGACCUCGCGCGAUUGGAGCGGCCGAUAUCAGAUUAGGUAGUUGGUGAGGUAAAGGCUCACCAAGCCGACGAUCUGUAGCUGGUCUGAGAGGACGACCAGCCACACUGGGACUGAGACACGGCCCAGACUCCUACGGGAGGCAGCAGUGGGGAAUUUUGGACAAUGGGCGCAAGCCUGAUCCAGCAAUAGCCGCGUGCAGGAU